This 420-nucleotide ribosomal RNA is filed under the name uncultured bacterium. Its description in RNAcentral is "bacterial SSU rRNA". It matches the Rfam family "Bacterial small subunit ribosomal RNA", at positions 355 to 774 of the family's 1533-position model. The record is from RNAcentral.
UAAGGAAUAUUGCUCAAUGGGAGAAAUCCUGAAGCAGCAACGCCGCGUGGAGGAUGAAGGGUCUAUGACUUGUAAACUCCUGUAAAGAAGGAAAAAAUUCCCAUUUGAUGGGAGAUGAUGGUACUUCUGGAGUAAGCACCGGCUAACCCCGUGCCAGCAGCCGCGGUAAUACGGAGGGUGCAAGCGUUAUCCGGAUUCACUGGGUUUAAAGGGUGCGUAGGUGGGUAUGUAAGUCAGUGGUGAAAUCCCCGAGCUUAACUUGGGAACUGCCAUUGAUACUAUAUAUCUUGAAUACCGUAGAGGUAAGCGGAAUAUGUCAUGUAGCGGUGAAAUGCUUAGAUAUGACAUGGAACACCAAUUGCGAAGGCAGCUUACUAUGCGGUGAUUGACACUGAGGCACGAAAGCGUGGGUAGCAAACA